This 64-nucleotide transfer RNA is filed under the name Capnogryllacris melanocrania. Its description in RNAcentral is "tRNA-Ala". It matches the Rfam family "tRNA". From Rfam's summary of the family: Transfer RNA (tRNA) molecules are approximately 80 nucleotides in length. Their secondary structure includes four short double-helical elements and three loops (D, anti-codon, and T loops). The record is from RNAcentral. Lineage: Eukaryota; Metazoa; Arthropoda; Insecta; Orthoptera; Gryllacrididae.
AGGACUAUAGUUAAUUAUAACAUUUGAUUUGCACUCAAAAAGUAUUGAAAUUCCAUUUGUCCUA